AGGAGGCAUCAAUGUUUCCAGGGCAGGGUGAAGAGAAGGGAUUUGGAAGUAUCUGGAAGCUGCACAUUUUCUGCCUAGAAAGGCUGGAGAGCCAAUGCUGUGAUCGCUGUGGAAGCUUUGCCAUUGCUGCUGGGUGACUCAGAAGGAAUCAGCGUAAUUUAUCUGUGUCUUUUCAAAAGACAAGCCUCCUAAAAAAGCAAAGAGCAGAAUGAUUUUCAACAGAUGAACAGCUGAGACCAGCAGGACUCCCUUUUGAACCAAAAUUUGUCUGUGCAGACAGAAUGAACAAACACGAAGAAUUCAAGGCGUGCUGAACUGAUCCUGAGAUAAACACCAACAUUUUUAAUCAAGUGGAAAAUCAGAAAGAAAUAUCUCAUUAAUGUUAUAUAGCAUUGACAAAAAUGUGAAUUUAUGCAGAGAAAUCUCUCUACUUUGACUACUGACUUAAACAGCACAGUGUUCUUUUUCCAGCCUAAUGUUUCAAAUGGGAGAGGAAACCAGAUGUACCAAAACAACAUUAAAAAGAGACAUACCCUUCCUAGGAAAGGUAUUUUUUGUUGCAAAAUACCAUCUUAAAUAAUGAUAUUCCUGUUCUCAGUCUUGUUGACUUUUGCAGAAAUUAAUCAUCAAAGUGAACCUCAGAGGCGACAGUCUUCAUGGAUGUUGGAAAGCAGUGUGCAUCUGCCUACUUGUUUCAAGACUGGAUUGCUCUACCAAGAUUUAUCUCCCUGCUCAACUAAUAAACUACAACAUACUUACCAAAAUGGAAACAAGCAAAACCUCUGGCCUCUGGAGCUGUAGGUAACUUCCUUUUUCAUGUAGAUCUUAGGCCCUGGAAGCUUCUUGGGAAAAAUGCUUUCAUUCUCUUUGUUGGAGGUUUUUGGAGAAAUUACAGAGAUUUGCUCUUUAUCCAAUAGUGCAAGGAAUGGUCACUGACACAGGCACUACAGAACACCCACAAAAUGUCAGCCAUCCUCAGAAACACUGAGUGCAGUCAACGUCACUCUCUAAGCUGACAUGCAUGGCAUUUACCAGCCUUCAUUUGCAAGCACACCCAUCCGUGAAGAAUCAGCUCGGUGGUUCUGGUUCGGCACAGAAGUACACAACCAGACACGUGACAGUGUGUGUCACAACACAGUGAAGAAGCUGCUCUGUGCACUGCACAUACCUAGAGACAUGUGGAAAUCCUGCCCAAAGGGAUUUACUGAGUGCCGGCGUGCUGCCAAGAUCCAGCUAGCCCAGGAGCCUGCAGAAACUUAAACAAGGAUUAUCUUCUGGCAGAAACCAAGCAAGAGCAGAUUCCUCUGACAAAGCAGCAUAGCGUUUGCCGAGGAGCUGCCAUGGGCUUAUUGCUGCCUGACCUGAAGCAUGACCCUGUCCCAUUGGCCCAUGCCCUUUGGGGGCACCUAAGGCUUUGAGUAGCCCAAGUCCCACUUCCAUGAUAGAGCACAUGGGGCAGCCACCGCCCUCCCAGCAGAACAGGUCUGAGCUUUCUCCUCCUCCUACUCUCCAGAAAACUUGCUCUCCAGGCAUGGGAUAUACGUGGGGUGUGGCACGGAUGGGGAGGAAAGCACACCUUAGAUCUAGAGCCCUGCUCAAAAGAUGCUGGUUUUCUUGGGAACCUGUCCUGACACAAAGGUUCAAGUCUCAGCAAUGUAGCUACCAGGAAGAUAUUUUUCUUUAGGUUUAAAGCAGCUCUUUUCAAGCUCAGAUUGACUCACAAAGCAAUGUGACCAGAAAAGUUGCUGACUUUUCAAACAGCAAAAGGUAGAAAAACAGGAAUUUGUUUUAACAAACAGCAGCGCUGCACUGGCUGUUCAUCAGCCUUUGGGGCUGUGACAUUUGCUGCAAGCAUGCAGCAUUCCUGUUGCCACCUGAGGAGUUCCACCAGUGUUCAUUAGACAUUGGUAUCACUGGUGUCACCCAAACCUCCAUACAUAAGGAUACCACACAGCCCAGGCUGACCUCCCCUCAGCCCACCUCCUUUUGCUGUAUGCGUCAUGCUGAAGCAGCCACCUGAGAUCCCCUGUCCCUGCAAAAGCAAAGCAGGACGAAGGCCUGUUAUGAAAACCAGAUUAUUCCCUUCACUAUG
This 2092-nucleotide long non-coding RNA is filed under the name Gallus gallus (chicken). RNAcentral's name for it is "long non-coding RNA NONGGAT006647". The record is from RNAcentral. Lineage: Eukaryota; Metazoa; Chordata; Aves; Galliformes; Phasianidae.